RNAcentral lists this ribosomal RNA (454 nucleotides) under uncultured bacterium. Its description in RNAcentral is "bacterial SSU rRNA". It matches the Rfam family "Bacterial small subunit ribosomal RNA", at positions 340 to 786 of the family's 1533-position model. The record is from RNAcentral.
UACGGAAGGCAGCAGUGGGGAAUAUUGCACAAUGGGCGCAAGCCUGAUGCAGCCAUGCCGCGUGUAUGAAGAAGGCCUUCGGGUUGUAAAGUACUUUCAGUCGUGAGGAAGGUGUUAAGGUUAAUAACCUUAGCAAUUGACGUUAGCGACAGAAGAAGCACCGGCUAACUCCGUGCCAGCAGCCGCGGUAAUACGGAGGGUGCGAGCGUUAAUCGGAAUUACUGGGCGUAAAGGGCACGCAGGCGGCUAAUUAAGUUGGAUGUGAAAUCCCCGGGCUUAACCUGGGAAUGGCAUUCAAGACUGGUUAGCUAGAGUCUUGUAGAGGGGGUUAGAAUUCCAUGUGUAGCGGUGAAAUGCGUAGAGAUGUGGAGGAAUACCGGUGGCGAAGGCGGCCCCUGGGACAAAGACUGACGCUCAUGUGCGAAAGCGUGGGGAGCAAACAGGAUUAGAUACC